This 732-nucleotide ribosomal RNA is filed under the name uncultured Campylobacter sp. RNAcentral's name for it is "bacterial SSU rRNA". It matches the Rfam family "Bacterial small subunit ribosomal RNA", at positions 28 to 776 of the family's 1533-position model. The record is from RNAcentral. Lineage: Bacteria; Pseudomonadati; Campylobacterota; Epsilonproteobacteria; Campylobacterales; Campylobacteraceae.
GAUGAACGCUCGCUGUGGUGCCUAUACAUGCAUGUUGAACGGGAUGUAGCAUUACAUUCAGUAGCGAAUGGGUGAGUAACACGUACCUAACCUACCUUUAAGACUGGGAUAACUAUUGGAAACAAUAGCUAAUACCGGAUAUAGUUAUUUAUCGCAUGAUGAGUAAUAGAAAGGAGCUUCACAGCUUCACUUAAAAAUGGGGGUGCGGAACAUUAGUUAGUUGGUAGGGUAAUGGCCUACCAAGACGAUGAUGUUUAGCCGGGCCGAGAGGCUGUACGGCCACACUGGGACUGAGAUACGGCCCAGACUCCUACGGGAGGGCAGCAGUGGGGAAUAUUGGACAAUGGGCGAAAGCCCUGAUCCAGCAAUGCCGCGUGAGUGAUGAAGGCCUUAGGGUUGUAAAGCUCUUUUACCCGGGAUGAUAAUGACAGUACCGGGAGAAUAGGCUCCGGCUAACUCCGUGCCAGCAGCCGCGGUAAUACGGAGGGAGCUAGCGUUGUUCGGAAUUACUGGGCGUAAAGCGCGCGUAGGCGGUUUUUUAAGUCAGAGGUGAAAGCCCGGGGCUCAACCCCGGAAUUGCCUUUGAAACUGGAAAACUUGAAUCUUGGAGAGGUCAGUGGAAUUCCGAGUGUAGAGGUGAAAUUCGUAGAUAUUCGGAAGAACACCAGUGGCGAAGGCGACUGACUGGACAAGUAUUGACGCUGAGGUGCGAAAGCGUGGGGAGCAAACAGG